This 1034-nucleotide long non-coding RNA is filed under the name Cyanistes caeruleus (blue tit). Its description in RNAcentral is "lncRNA (ENSCCEG00000019400.1)". Lineage: Eukaryota; Metazoa; Chordata; Aves; Passeriformes; Paridae. The record is from RNAcentral.
AGCUAACGUCAAGGCUGUCUGCACUGGCUCUCCCUGCCAGCUGCCUCCUCGCUGCCAGAAGGGGCUGCUUCUCCAGGCACAUAACAGCAAAUCCUUGGGCAACUUCUUGGGACGUUCUCUUGAUGGCCUGGUGAGUGCUGGAUUUGAAGGCUGGAACACCAUCAGAUGCCAGCAGUGAGUCACAAGCAGCCUGUGGGGCUUUGCACAUGUGUGCAGUGAAGUGCAGGCUGUGGUGGGGAUGACACAUUGAGUGAAGUGCAAAACCAGGGCUGGUUUUUGUCAGGAAUAUGGUGGAUUUCUUGCCACUUUUUGGGUGACCUCCUAAUCUGCAAGCAGAGGCCAUGAAGGGGAAGGAGUUGCACAUGGCUGCUUAGCCAACAGCAGACACCGUGCUGGAGGAGGGUGGGCAUCAGCCAGCCAAGAGGGUUCCCGUGUUUGCUUGUCACCCUUAUCCUUCUUUCACACAGGCAUUGAAGUCUGCUGGCAGUCUGUGAGCUGCAGCCAGUGUCUGGCAUGCUUCCAGCCUGGACAAGUCUUGGGGAGCUGAGAACCAGCACAGCAUGUAAAUGCUGUGCUAUCCCAGCGUUGGGAAUGCAGCUGAGGUCCUUGGAAAGGUCAGCUGUGGCAGCCCCACAUGUGGUAAGGAGCUGGGCUCUGGGCUGUCCCUCAGGAGCACAGAGUGCCUUUUGCAACCCUAGUCUCAAAGAGUGAUGAAGGGUGGAUGAUCACCACCAGACCCCUGGAUGAGAAGAACUGUUGGCAGAACAGGCAGCAGCCCCUCCCCACUGAUGGCUGCACUCUUUCAAGGUUUUCCUGGGAGAGGCUUCGGGGGACGGCAGAUGGACACAACACAGGAUAACAAGGUGUGCCACAGGCAAUCUCACCUCCCAAGAUGGUGCAUCAGUGCCACCCAUGACAGCGCUUGCUCUUCAGCAGAGAGAGUACUGACCUUGUCCUGCUGCAAUGAUUGAGAGGGAGCUUCAAAUUUUGAUACAGUAACUCCAGCAUAGCCCUUAGCUACUCUACUCCCACCC